GGUAGAUCAUUAUAAACCCAGUUGGUAGUUUAGGUGGUAGAUCAUUAUAAACCCAGUUGGUAGUUUAGGUGGUAGAUCAUUAUAAACCCAGUUGGUAGUUUAGGUGGUAGAUCAUUAUAAACCCAGUUGGUAGUUUAGGCGGUAGAUCAUUAUAAACCCAGUUGGUAGUUUAGGUGGUAGGUCAUGGAUGUGCUGGGUUUAGGAGUAACCCCUGUAGUCUCUGCUCUGUUAGCGACACAUGGAGUAAGAUAAUUCAACGUGCAACAAUUUCCCCAUAGAGUUUAAACUGCAAACAUUUUCAUUAUCAUUCUUCCUCUUUUCUUCAUCAGCGUCUUCAUCAUCAUCAUCAUCAUCAUCUCAGAUAUUGUUGCCAUCACAGAGUCAGUGAUGAAGUUCUGGUGUGUGUGUGUGUAUAUAUAUAUAUAUAUAUAUAUAUGUGGUAUGUGUAGAUAGGUAGGUAGGUAGUUAGUUCUGGUGUGUGUAUAUAUAUAUGUGGUAUGUGUAGAUAGGUAGGUAGGUAGGUAGGUAGUUAGUUCUGGUGUGUGUAUAUAUAUAUGUGGUAUGUGUAGAUAGGUAGGUAGUUAGUUCUGGUGUCUCUGGCCUCCUCUCCAGAGUCAAAGUCUUUUGUUUCCAUAGUGUUGAUAGGUUGAUAUCACAUUGUGACAUUGUAUUGCGUUGUACAAUAAACGUCCCAGCAACACUUCAAACACACAGCUCCUUCUCCCAUCUACCUAUAGCGAGUCGGCGUAUCAAGCCACCAUGGCAACCCUGGUGGGUGUGGCUCUUCCUGUCUUGUUGCCGGGGUAACAUCCAUCCUGCUGACUUGUGGGUUAGGGCUAGGUUCAGGGUUCAGGUAAUCUGGUGUUACACCACUGGACAAAACACCAGCCUUACACUCAACUAUAACUGAGUUUAUCAGGGUGUUAAUCUGGCUAUUCUGAUUUUGACUCCGUAUGACAGAAGACAAGCAUUCUCUGGGAUCUUUCCCAGCGUGACCCGCCCCCUCCUCUCUCUGACCCUGCUCCCCCCUCUCUGACCCUGCUCCCCCCUCCUCUCUCUGACCC
Molecule: long non-coding RNA, 1064 nt
Filed under: Salmo salar (Atlantic salmon)
Lineage: Eukaryota; Metazoa; Chordata; Actinopteri; Salmoniformes; Salmonidae
Description: lncRNA (ENSSSAG00000099570.1)
Source: RNAcentral